GAUGAACGCUGGCGGCGUGCCUAAUACAUGCAAGUCGAGCGAACGGACGAGAAGCUUGCUUUUCUGAUGUUAGCGGCGGACGGGUGAGUAACACGUGGAUAACCUACCUAUAAGACUGGGAUAACUUCGGGAAACCGGAGCUAAUACCGGAUAAUAUUUUGAACCGCAUGGUUCAAAAGUGAAAGACGGUCUUGCUGUCACUUAUAGAUGGAUCCGCGCUGCAUUAGCUAGUUGGUAAGGUAACGGCUUACCAAGGCAACGAUGCAUAGCCGACCUGAGAGGGUGAUCGGCCACACUGGAACUGAGACACGGUCCAGACUCCUACGGGAGGCAGCAGUAGGGAAUCUUCCGCAAUGGGCGAAAGCCUGACGGAGCAACGCCGCGUGAGUGAUGAAGGUCUUCGGAUCGUAAAACUCUGUUAUUAGGGAAGAACAUAUGUGUAAGUAACUGUGCACAUCUUGACGGUACCUACUCAGAAAGCCACGGCUAACUACGUG
This 497-nucleotide ribosomal RNA is filed under the name uncultured bacterium. RNAcentral's name for it is "partial 16S ribosomal RNA". It matches the Rfam family "Bacterial small subunit ribosomal RNA", at positions 28 to 507 of the family's 1533-position model. The record is from RNAcentral.